AGCCCUGACCCCAGGCUCCUCCUCAGAAAGGUGGAACCCAGGGAGAGGGGGGACCCCAGGUGACUGUCAGGACCAGGGAAGUAAUUUGUAACUCAGAGCCAGAGG
Cercocebus atys (sooty mangabey) is the source of this 105-nucleotide long non-coding RNA. RefSeq lists it as uncharacterized. The transcript has 3 exons. NCBI's taxonomy places the organism in Eukaryota, Metazoa, Chordata, Mammalia, Primates, Cercopithecidae. The record is from RefSeq and is a predicted model, not a curated record.